RNAcentral lists this long non-coding RNA (562 nucleotides) under Rattus norvegicus (Norway rat). Its description in RNAcentral is "long non-coding RNA NONRATT033264". The record is from RNAcentral. Lineage: Eukaryota; Metazoa; Chordata; Mammalia; Rodentia; Muridae.
GUCCAAGCCAGUCCUGCCUCCCUGACUUGGCUCCUAACUGCUUGUCCUACCCUCUGACCUUUUCCUUACCUCUCAGCCGAAGCUGUUUUUCAGACUCAUUUCUCACCUCCAUUCCCUCAAACUUUGAGUCUGAGUUUGAGUUGCCUAGGAAACAAAAGACUGGGUCAGAGACUUGGUUGCCGGUAGUUUUGUUGAAACCGAUCCUGAGAAACAGAAGUGAUGGCGUGUGGUGUGUGAAGGGGGAAGAAAAAAGUGGAAGUGAAGUGAAGGGUCAGACUGCCAGGCAGGACUCUCCAGGACAGGAGAUGUGUGGAGAAUACCUCUCGGAAUUAGCUCCCUGAACAUGAGAUGAUUUGCUCUGGUCUGCACACUCCAUUCCCCCCAAACCUGACUCAGAAUCUUUUAAAGCAGCCACUCACCUCUGCAACUGUCUGAGCUGCCAGUCCUCCUGGUUUAUAUCCUUAAAAAGAUGCUCAUAAUUUAAUCAACCACAUCGCUCCACUCAGAGGAAUUCCACAUCGAGUGGAACAUUUACCCCAGCCAGGUAACUGGACCCCAGUGA